CUUGCCGAUCAUACCAGCACUAAAGCACCGGAUCCCAUCAGAACUCCGAAGUUAAGCGUGCUUGGGCGAGAGUAGUACUAGGAUAGGUGCUUGGGCGAGAGUAGUACUAGGAUAGGUGACC
This is a non-coding RNA of Hordeum secalinum, 121 nucleotides long. NCBI's taxonomy places the organism in Eukaryota, Viridiplantae, Streptophyta, Magnoliopsida, Poales, Poaceae. The record is from Rfam.